UCUCUGGUAGUAUAUCGGUUAGUACACGCGCCUGUCAUUUACUGUAAAGUUAUCCGCGCGCGAAAGCUGGGCCCGACUCCCAGCCAGAGAG
This is a non-coding RNA of Armillaria nabsnona, 91 nucleotides long. The record is from the annotation of a GenBank genome assembly. NCBI's taxonomy places the organism in Eukaryota, Fungi, Basidiomycota, Agaricomycetes, Agaricales, Physalacriaceae.